RNAcentral lists this long non-coding RNA (225 nucleotides) under Elaeis guineensis (African oil palm). RNAcentral's name for it is "long non-coding RNA (EGUI_LNC056962)". The record is from RNAcentral. Lineage: Eukaryota; Viridiplantae; Streptophyta; Magnoliopsida; Arecales; Arecaceae.
CACGUGCUCUUCAUUCCCAUCAUUCAAAGAAAUUGAGACAAGAUCUCCAAUUGGCUCACCCCGCUCUUCAGCAAGAUAAUCGUGAGUGUCCAAUCCAUCAACCGAGCAGGGGUCGGACUGUCCCUUUCUCUGAAGGGCUAUGUUUUAGCAAUGUCUUGCCAGGGCUUGAUCUCCUCUGACUUCUCCGACCCCCUGGCUAGUAGAAAAUUUCAAUUUUAAAUGGUA